Unclassified non-coding RNA from Tupaia belangeri (northern tree shrew), 326 nucleotides. Its record names the gene 7SK. It matches the Rfam family "7SK RNA". From Rfam's summary of the family: 7SK was discovered as an abundant small nuclear RNA in the mid-70s but a possible function has only recently been suggested. Two independent studies have found that 7SK RNA binds the CDK9/cyclin T complex (known as elongation factor P-TEFb). NCBI's taxonomy places the organism in Eukaryota, Metazoa, Chordata, Mammalia, Scandentia, Tupaiidae. The record is from Ensembl.
GGAUGUGAGGGCAAUCUGGCUGCAACAUCUGUCACCCCAUUGAUCGCCAGGGUUGAUUCGGCUGAUCUGGCUGGCUAGGCGGGUGUCCCCUUCCUCCCUCAUCGCUCCAUGUGCGUCCCUCCCGAAGCUGCGCGCUCGGUCAAAGAGGACGACCAUCCCCGAUAGAGGAGGACCCUUCUUCAGUCAAGGGUAUACGAGUAGCUGCGCUCCCCUGCUAGAACCUCCAAACAAGCUCUCAAGAAUGUAGGCUGCAUAUUGCAUAAUGCAUACUUCAUACAUUUCUGAAUAAACUGCACAUUCUUUGGAGGUAAAAACAGUGUUAUUUU